ACUGGAGUUCACACGUGUGCUUGGUCAAUACUGCCAUAAUCCUUACCUUCAGUUCAUCUUUGGUGUUACAAGGAGUUUUGCUGGUCUCUCGCUCGACUUUACCCCACACAUAAUGAUCAAAGGGAUUACAGUCUGGGGAGUUUGGUGACCAGAUAUUAGGGGUGAUGUGGUCACAGAAAUUGUCUGACAUCCAUGACAGGGUUAUCCUGCUUGUGUGGCAUGGUGCAGAGUCCUCUUGCCAGACAAAGGGUCUUCCAGUAGCCAUACGUUUGACCCACGGCAGC
Octopus sinensis (East Asian common octopus) is the source of this 284-nucleotide long non-coding RNA. RefSeq lists it as uncharacterized. The transcript has 3 exons. The record is from RefSeq and is a predicted model, not a curated record. Lineage: Eukaryota; Metazoa; Mollusca; Cephalopoda; Octopoda; Octopodidae.